UCGGAUUGUAGUCUGCAACCCGACUACAUGAAGCUGGAAUCGCUAGUAAUCGCGGAUCAGAAUGCCGCGGUGAAUACGUUCCCGGGUCUUGUACACACCGCCCGUCACACCAUGGGAGUCGGAAAUGCCCGAAGUCUGUGACCUAACCGUAAGGGAGGAGCAGCCGAAGGCAGGUCGGAUGACUGGGGUGAAGUCGUAACAAGGUAAC
RNAcentral lists this ribosomal RNA (208 nucleotides) under uncultured bacterium. RNAcentral's name for it is "partial 16S ribosomal RNA". It matches the Rfam family "Bacterial small subunit ribosomal RNA", at positions 1293 to 1500 of the family's 1533-position model. The record is from RNAcentral.